UAAAAUUAUUUUAAUGCAUUGUAG
RNAcentral lists this non-coding RNA (24 nucleotides) under Cricetulus griseus (Chinese hamster). Lineage: Eukaryota; Metazoa; Chordata; Mammalia; Rodentia; Cricetidae. The record is from RNAcentral.